CCUACGGGAGGCAGCAGUGAGGAAUAUUGGUCAAUGGGCGGAAGCCUGAACCAGCCAAGUAGCGUGCGGGAUGAAGGCCCUACGGGUCGUAAACCGCUUUUGCACGGGGAUAACACCCUCCACUUGUGGUGGUCUGUAGGUACCGUGCGAAUAAGGGCCGGCUAAUUCCGUGCCAGCAGCCGCGGUAAUACGGAAGGCCCGGGCGUUAUCCGGAUUCAUUGGGCUUAAAGGGUGCGCAGGCGGGCGUUCAAGUCAGCUGUAAAAUCCCGUGGCUCAACCGAGCCCCGCAGUUGAAACUGGACGCCUUGAGGUCACAACAGGCAGGCGGAAUUCGUGGGGUAGCGGUGAAAUGCAUAGAUAUCACGAGGAACCCCGAUUGCGAAGGCAGCCUGCCGGGGUGCGACUGACGCUGAUGCUCGAAGGUGCGGGGAUCAAACAGGAUUAGAUACCCGGGUAGUC
RNAcentral lists this ribosomal RNA (459 nucleotides) under uncultured bacterium. RNAcentral's name for it is "partial 16S ribosomal RNA". It matches the Rfam family "Bacterial small subunit ribosomal RNA", at positions 338 to 795 of the family's 1533-position model. The record is from RNAcentral.